Molecule: unclassified non-coding RNA, 1386 nt
Filed under: uncultured Neocallimastigales
Lineage: Eukaryota; Fungi; Neocallimastigomycota; Neocallimastigomycetes; Neocallimastigales
Description: partial contains small subunit ribosomal RNA, internal transcribed spacer 1, 5.8S ribosomal RNA, internal transcribed spacer 2, and large subunit ribosomal RNA
Rfam family: Eukaryotic large subunit ribosomal RNA (bases 608-1386)
Source: RNAcentral
UUUCCGUAGGUGAACCUGCGGAAGGAUCAUUAAAAAAUGUGGUACCAAUUGUUGGUACUAAUUAAUCAUCCUACCCUUUGUGAAUUUGUUUGUAUGAAUUUUUUUAAAUGGGUCUUUCCCUAAGUUGGAUUGUUAGUAAAAUACAAAAAGACUUAGGGGAAUGACUUUUUUAAAAGACUUUUUUUUAAUUAAAACUUUUUGUAUUCAUUUGUCUAAAAUUUAUUUUUAUAAUAUAAAAACAACUUUUGACAAUGGAUCUCUUGGUUCUCGCAACGAUGAAGAACGCAGCAAAAUGCGAUAAGUAGUGUGAAUUGCAGAAUACGUGAAUCAUCGAAUCUUCGAACGCAUAUUGCACUUUUUUAGUUUACUAAAAAAGUAUGUCUGUUUGAGUAUCAGUAAAAUAUUCUCACAAACAUAUAUUGUUUGUGGUUAUGAGUGUUUUACAACGAUAAACAAGUUGUUUCACUUUAAAUUCUUUUAUUGAAUUUUUACCAAUUCAUAAAUUAAAAUUGGAUAAAAUUUUCCUUUAACGAGGAAUAACCUAAACAAUUUUAAAUUUUAUGGAUUAAUAAACAUCCAUCAAGGAAUCUAUUAUACAUAAAUAACUUGAUCUCAAAUCAGAUAAGAGUACCCGCUGAACUUAAGCAUAUCAAUAAGCGGAGGAAAAGAAACUAACAAGGAUUCCCUUAGUAACGGCGAGUGAAGCGGGAAGAGCUCAAAUUUGAAAUCUUCAAGGUUUGACCUUGACGAAUUGUAGUUUAUAGAAGUGUUUUCUGUUGGAGUUUUGGUAAAAGUUCUUUGGAAUAGGACAUCAUAGAGGGUGAGAAUCCCGUAUUUGACCAUGACUUUCCAGCUGUGUGAUACACUUUCAAAGAGUCGGAUUGUUUGGGAAUGCAGUCCAAAAUGGGUGGUAAAUUUCAUCUAAAGCUAAAUAUUGGCGAGAGACCGAUAGCGAACAAGUACCGUGAGGGAAAGAUGAAAAGAACUUUGAAAAGAGAGUUAAACAGUACGUGAAAUUGUCAAAAGGGAAGCGUUUGACACCAGUGUUGUUUUCUCGAAAAUCAAUUUAAUGAGUUCUUGUUUUUAAGUUAUUGUGACUUUAUCAGCGCAUUUCUUAUUUUACUUGACUCAUUGAAUGCACUUUUCGUUUAACAAGUCAACAUCAAUUUCUUUGGUGGUAAAAAGUUUAAAGGAAGGUGGCUUGGACUUCGGUUCAAGUGUUUAUAGCCUUUUUUCUAUGCCAUCGGAGAGAUUGAGGUCUGCAGCGUAGAUCCUUCGGGGUUAGAUACUUUGUGCUAAGUUAUAGUUUUUUAUAGACAACUUGUUGACUAUAAUUAACCCUGUAAUUUACUCGCUUAGGCUAUUUUACCUACGCUUAGGAUGUUG